RNAcentral lists this ribosomal RNA (1167 nucleotides) under Triticum aestivum (bread wheat). RNAcentral's name for it is "partial small subunit ribosomal RNA". Lineage: Eukaryota; Viridiplantae; Streptophyta; Magnoliopsida; Poales; Poaceae. The record is from RNAcentral.
AUGACGACCGCCACUGCCAUCGUCGCCGGCCACGGCAUCGCCUUCCGCCGGAGCCUCCACCUGCCCAACCCGCCGGGGAAGCCCUCCUUCUCCGUCGCGCGGCCCCACGCGCACUACCGCCUCUUAGUCCCGGCCACGCCGUCGCCGAGGCCCUGCCGGUCCAUCUCCUCGCAGAGCCCCACGGCCGCCGCGGCGGACACCGCGGAGGACGAGGAGGAGCCAGCCGAGGAGAGUGAGGGGAGUGAGGAGGAGUUGGACCCGCUGGCGGAGGUGUGCUACCUGGACCCGGACGCGGACGCGGAGGGGAUCCGGGAGUGGGAGGUGGACUUCUGCUCGCGGCCCAUCCUGGACGCCAGGGGCAAGAAGGUGUGGGAGCUGGUGGUGUGCGACGCGACGCUGUCGCUCCAGUUCACCCGUUUCUUCCCCAACACGUCCAUCAACAGCGUGACGCUCCGGGACGCGCUCGCCUCCGUGGCCUCCUCCCUCGGCGUGCCGCUCCCGGACCGCGCCCGCUUCUUCCGGUCGCAGAUGCAGACCAUCAUCUCCCGCGCCUGCAACGACCUCGGGGUCAAGGCCGUGCCCAGCCGCCGCUGCGUCUCCCUGCUGCUCUGGCUGGAGGAGCGCUACGAGACCGUCUACAGCCGCCACCCCGGCUUCCAGAAGGGCACCAAGCCGCUGCUCACGCUCGACAACCCCUUCGCCACCAACCUGCCGGACAACCUCUUCGGCGACAAGUGGGCAUUCGUGCAGCUCCCCUUCGACGAUGUGAGGGAGGAGGUGGAGUUGCUGGAGAGGAGGUACGCGUUCGGGGCGGGGCUCGAUUUGGACCUCUUGGGGUUCGAGCUCGACGAAACCACACUAGUCCCUGGGGUUGCCGUGGAAUCUUCGCGCGCCAAGCCUCUGGCCGCUUGGAUGAAUGGGUUAGAGAUCUGUUCAAUGGAGGUUGACACCGGCAGAGCGAACCUAAUCCUGUCAGCCGGGGUUUCUACCAGAUACGUCUACGCCGGCUACCAGAAGAGCGCCGCUACAACGCAGGAGGCAGAAGCGUGGGAGGCGGCGAAGAAGACCUGUGGCGGCCUGCACUUCCUGGCCAUCCAAGAGAACCUCAACUCCGAUAGUUGCGUGGGUUUCUGGCUCCUGCUGGACCUGCCGCCACCGCCUGUAUGA